CGGAAUGUGUAAUGUACCGGUGAAAUGCUUAGAUAGUACACAGAACACCGAUUGCGAAGGCAGCUUACUAAACCGAUACUGACGCUGAUGCACGAAAGCGUGGGGAGCGAACAGGAUUAGAUACCCUGGUAGUCCACGCUGUAAACUAUGAUCACUCGCUGUUGGCAAUACAUCGUCAGCGGCUGAGCGAAAGCAUUAAGUGAUCCACCUGGGGAGUACGGUCGCAAGAUUGAAACUCAAAGGAAUUGACGGGGGCCCGCACAAGCGGUGGAACAUGUGGUUUAAUUCGAUGAUACGCGAGGAACCUUACCUGGGCUUAAAUGUAGACUGCAUUUCCGGGAAACCGGAAUUUCCUUCGGGACCGUCUACAAGGUGCUGCAUGGUUGUCGUCAGCUCGUGCCGUGAGGUGUCGGGUUAAGUCCCAUAACGAGCGCAACCCCUAUCGUUAGUUGCCAGCGAGUAAUGUCGGGGACUCUAGCGAAACUGCCGGUGUAAACCGAGAGGAAGGUGGGGAUGACGUCAAAUCAGCACGGCCCUUAUGUCCAGGGCUACACACGUGUUACAAUGGUCAGUACAAAGGGCAGCUACCUGGUGACAGGAUGCUAAUCUCGAAAACUGGUCUCAGUUCGGAUUGGAGUCUGCAAUUCGACUCCAUGAAGCUGGAAUCGCUAGUAAUCGCGCAUCAGCAACGGCGCGGUGAUACGUUCCCGGGCAUUGUACACACCGCCCGUCAAGCCAUGGAAGCUGGGGGUGCCUGAAGUCCGUAACCGAAAGGAUCG
Molecule: ribosomal RNA, 779 nt
Filed under: uncultured organism
Description: bacterial SSU rRNA
Rfam family: Bacterial small subunit ribosomal RNA
Source: RNAcentral